UACGAAGGGGGCUAGCGUUGCUCGGAAUCACUGGGCGUAAAGGGUGCGUAGGCGGGGUUUUAAGUCAGGGGGGAAAUCCUGGAGCUCAACUCCAGAACUGCCUUUGAUACUGAAGAUCUCGAGUCCGGGAGAGGUGAGUGGAACUGCGAGUGUAGAGGUGAAAUUCGUAGAUAUUCGCAAGAACACCAGUGGCGAAGGCGGCUCACUGGCCCGGUACUGACGCUGAGGCACGAAAGCGUGGGGAGCAAACAGG
Molecule: ribosomal RNA, 253 nt
Filed under: uncultured bacterium
Lineage: Bacteria
Description: partial 16S ribosomal RNA
Rfam family: Bacterial small subunit ribosomal RNA
Source: RNAcentral